GAUGAACGCUGGCGGCGUGCCUAAUACAUGCAAGUCGAGCGAACAGAUGAGGAGCUUGCUCCUCUGACGUUAGCGGCGGACGGGUGAGUAACACGUGGAUAACCUACCUAUAAGACUGGGAUAACUUCGGGAAACCGGAGCUAAUACCGGAUAAUAUAUUGAACCGCAUGGUUCAAUAGUGAAAGACGGUUUUGCUGCCACUUAUAGAUGGAUCCGCGCCGCAUUAGCUAGUUGGUAAGGUAACGGCUUACCAAGGCAACGAUGCGUAGCCGACCUGAGAGGGUGAUCGGCCACACUGGAACUGAGACACGGUCCAGACUCCUGCGGGAGGCAGCAGUAGGGAAUCUUCCGCAAUGGGCGAAAGCCUGACGGAGCAACGCCGCGUGAGUGAUGAAGGUCUUCGGAUCGUAAAACUCUGUUAUUAGGGAAGAACAAAUGUGUAAGUAACUAUGCACGUCUUGACGGUACCUAAUCAGAAAGCCACGGCUAACUACGUG
This 497-nucleotide ribosomal RNA is filed under the name uncultured bacterium. RNAcentral's name for it is "partial 16S ribosomal RNA". It matches the Rfam family "Bacterial small subunit ribosomal RNA", at positions 28 to 507 of the family's 1533-position model. The record is from RNAcentral.